This 431-nucleotide ribosomal RNA is filed under the name uncultured bacterium. RNAcentral's name for it is "partial 16S ribosomal RNA". It matches the Rfam family "Bacterial small subunit ribosomal RNA", at positions 29 to 507 of the family's 1533-position model. The record is from RNAcentral.
AACGAACGCUGGCGGCAGGCCUAACACAUGCAAGUCGAGCGCCCUUUCGGGGGAGCGGCGGACGGGUGAGUAACGCGUGGGAAUAUGCCCUUCUCUACGGAAUAGCCUCGGGAAACUGAGAGUAAUACCGUAUACGCCCUAUGGGGGAAAGAUUUAUCGGGGAAGGAUUAGCCCGCGUUGGAUUAGGUAGUUGGUGGGGUAAUGGCCUACCAAGCCGACGAUCCAUAGCUGGUUUGAGAGGAUGAUCAGCCACACUGGGACUGAGACACGGCCCAGACUCCUACGGGAAGCAGCAGUGGGGAAUCGUAGACAAUGGGGGCAACCCUGAUCUAGCCAUGCCGCGUGAGUGAUGAAGGCCUUAGGGUUGUAAAGCUCUUUCAGCUGGGAAGAUAAUGACGGUACCAGCAGAAGAAGCCCCGGCUAACUCCGUG